RNAcentral lists this ribosomal RNA (253 nucleotides) under uncultured bacterium. RNAcentral describes it as "partial 16S ribosomal RNA". It matches the Rfam family "Bacterial small subunit ribosomal RNA", at positions 524 to 776 of the family's 1533-position model. The record is from RNAcentral.
UACGGAGGGUGCGAGCGUUAUCCGGAUUUACUGGGUUUAAAGGGUGUGUAGGCGGAUCUUUAAGUCAGUGGUGAAAUCUUCAGGCUCAACCUGGAAACUGCCAUUGAUACUAUUGAUCUUGAAUACUGUGGAGGUGAGCGGAAUGUGUCAUGUAGCGGUGAAAUGCAUAGAGAUGACACAGAACACCGAUUGCGAAGGCAGCUCACUACGCAGUUAUUGACGCUGAUGCACGAAAGCGUGGGGAUCAAACAGG